Molecule: long non-coding RNA, 24236 nt
Filed under: Triticum aestivum (bread wheat)
Lineage: Eukaryota; Viridiplantae; Streptophyta; Magnoliopsida; Poales; Poaceae
Description: long non-coding RNA (TAES_LNC006863)
Source: RNAcentral
CACAUACCCGCCUUCACAUAAACUAUGAAGGGACUAGAGAUUAUUUCUCGGCGGCUCAGGUACUUCAUGCUUCCGCUACUGCCAUAUUUACACUGCCAGAAAAAAACACAGCACACCCAGAGCAGAGCUAGAGUAGUUCCCAGUACACCUUACCUUCUGGAACUGAUCCAAACUCUUCAACUCAGCCAGGGUUCAGAGAGUUCACCAAUCUGCCGUAACUGUCAACCCGUCACAAUCUCAAGAGUCUGUAUAUAACAAUAGUCUAUAUAUACUCAUUUCUAUUUAUGUAAAUCGUAGUAGGGUCAGAUUUCUUAUAGCCUAUAUAGGGGAUAAUAUGCACAAUCGGGAACAAACGCACUCAUGCACUCUCCACCUUCAGCUGGGAAGGGGGCGUUGGGAUUCGUUCAGCACCUCAUCGGGCCGCUCUGCUCGCGAAACAUGGAUAAACACAACACACACACACACACACUCACACCUAUAACAUCUGCUUUCUUAUCUGCACAGUGCAAAGCAAGUGAGGUUCCCUGCUUGCUGUUUGCGGCCUAGAAAAGCUGAAAAAGAGGCUUGUCGAACCGUCACCGAAUGACCGGAGGUCUGCUGGCUUCACCAGUGCCCUGCAUAGUGGGCAGGUGCGCUCCCUCUCAAACCUGCCAUCAUCAAGAUAAAAAACGUUACAAGGGAAAUGCUACAAGAUACUCUGAAUGUUGAGAUCAUGAAAAACUGUAACUAGAGGGGAGUGGACGGAAUGUCUGUGCAUUAUCAUCUAUUUUAUUUCCUGAAACACAAACUAGCUGUGCCAGUUCAAUAUGUGAAUUCUCAUCAGUACAUGGCUUCCUCCGUCGUGUGAUCAAUGGUCGGAGCUCACCGAUGAUGGAGGAUGUGGAGCUUCACUACCAUUCGCAGCUCCAGCCAUGGUCCGGAUCAUACUGAGGCUCUGGACCCUCCCUCAUAAACUCACCUUGAGGACAUCUAUUUUAUUUCCUGAAACACAAACUAGGUGUGCCGGUUUUGUAUGUGAAGUAUCAUCAGUUUGUGAAAAACACAUAUGACAGUACUAUGUGUGUGUGUGCAAAAUAAAACCGAGUGUUUUUAUUGUAUAAUAGUUUUGCACCAAAAGGUUAUUCUGAAGCGGGUGGCUAGUGUUGCAGUAGUUCAGAAUGUUGAACCCACAUUGAUGCAGGCGCUCAUGAGUAGAGGCAGGCGCACCCAUGAGCAUUCUUCCAAUGUGGUGUUCGCCGCCGGCGCCACAGUCCGUUCACGCCCGAUAGCCGAGGCCGUUCAAUGACACAACGACAAGGUCUGGCCUUCCCCGUUCCUCUUUUCAUGUUGUGGCAUUAUCGAACUCGUGUAAUGACUGAUUCUGUACUGUUGUUGGUUGCAUUGGUGAUGCUUUUACAAGUGUGGAAAACAAAGCUAGUGUCCUACUUUGCUUGUAUAUUAAGAGUUCGCCUAUGAGUCUCCUACAUGUACUGGUGAUGCUACUUCAUCUCUACUUGUUGUGAAAUAAGGUUUUUGUUGAUUUGCUUACAAGAAAUGAAAUAUCCUUCUUGAUGUUUCUUUGUUGCCAAAUAAAGCUAUUGUUUGAUUGACACCACCUUCUUGCAUCAAGUGACACCAAGCAUGUUUAAUUGAAUGCUCACAAGAAAUGAUCACACAUCAAAGUGACACCCUCAGUUUAAAACUAAUUUUAGAUCAGCGCAAUUCUUAUUUUUAUUCAGUACUCUUCGUGCGGAUGAUUCCUGGUUGCUUCUCCUGUUCUGAACUUGUUGCUCAAUUGCACAGGUAUUGCCAGAGUACUGUCUAGUCUGAAGCCAGCUACACAUUCGCACAUGAGUCGGUGCUCCUAAAGUGCUCUAAUUAGCAAUAGAAAAUGACAAGGGAGUGCAUCCAAAAGAUAGGUGGCAAGCAUGCCUGCUACAGUGUGUUGAUAACUGAAUUGAAGGAUCUUCAGUAUAUGAACCACAAAAAGAAAGGUGCAUCCCGUACAAACAAAGAAGUGCAUGCAGUACAUCAGCUCAAGAUCCAAUGGUUCAAUUAUCUUUUGGUUUGGCGAAAUGCUUCUCUUGCAGGUUUUUUGUUUUGCUGUAAUUUUCAUUUAUAUCACAGGAUGUAACACCAUCUCUGAAACAAAUGCAUAUGUUCAGUUAAGAACUUGGCGUGGUGGGUGUACUGUUGAUAAUCUGAACUUGUUUCUCUCAACUACAGAAAACAUGUAACCUUUGUUGUGCUCCUCUGCAAUUUCUCUAGAAAACAUGGAUUGUUUUGGUUUAAGUACAUCUUGAAUCCAUGUGCCAUCUUGCUAUCUUUUUUGGAAUCAAUAAAUGGCAUCGACAUUCCACAGAACAAAUGUCAACUAGGAUGCAUGUGUAUGUAUCAAAUAUGGCACGAUUUGUUCCUUGCGCCGGAGUACACAAACGCAAUGGUGCGGAGGCCGUACAAAUUUCUUAUAUCUAUUGCUACAAGUUCGAGUGAUAAAUUACUGUAAGCUCACAUGUUAUUGUCCAAUUAGUUCAAAUGAUCAUUGUUUUCUUCAUUGAAUAAAACAAAAAAGAAGUACAAAUAUUUAUUACAAAAAUCAUGAAAAAAUUUCAAGUUGCAAACAAAAGGGAGUACAUACCUUCAUUGCAAAAAAUGUUCGAGUUUGAACAAAACAAAAAGAAAACAUCCAUCAAUUCAACUAGUGAAACCAUGCAAAUUCAGACCUAAUGGUGUUGUCAGUUUGGACGAGAAAAAAAAUCUAAAAUUGUAAUCCCAAAAAAGGUUCAGUUCUAUAAGUCCAUGUCUUGAUAGGAGGCCGUUCAAAACAUCCUCACAUAUAAGUCCACUGUUUAUUAUGCGAGUUAAAAAAUGACGUCUCAUCCCUGAAAAAACGGUCAGUACAAACACAAAAGUUCAAAUUUGCUAAUAUCUACAGUACUGGUAGUUCAUUUUGUACUAGUCCCGACUGUCUAUAGUUCAUUUUGCUAAGAAAUAUUCUUCUACAUGUCUUUACAUCGGCCGUAGAACAUGUAUUACUUUUGGAAGUUAAGUCAAUGUAUUUCAUCUCUUUGAUCGGAUUAAUGCUUGAUUUUGGUGAUGGCAAUUUUUAUCUUUGAUAUCCUGAAAUGAGUCAAUAACUUCGAAUUUUUUUUGCUAGCUUUCGAAAUGUAAAAACACAACAAGUUCAACAUGAUGUCCUAGAUAAGUUUGGAAAAAAAAACUCAAAAAAAGAAACCCCACGAAAAUUCAAAUGGUAAAAGUUCAAGUCGUAAAAUGAGAGAAGUUCAAAACAUGGUUGAAAAAAAUAUUAGUUAAAAUAAACACACACAAAACAUUUUCUUUAAAAAAUUGUCAUUCAGUUCAACGAUAUAAACCAUGCAAGUUCGCGUACGAUGAUACCGUGAACCGUUGAAAAUUUCUCUCCACAUUUUCUACUCUUUAUAUGAGUGCUGAAAAGUACAUGUAUUACUAGCAUAUAAGUCCAAAAAAUAAACCGCAAUCAGUUCCGCGAAAAUGCAAAGAAGUUCAAAAAAUAUAUAAAAAAUUGUAAGUACCUCGCCCCCGAGCUUCGUCUUCUUCCUCGCCGAGACACGUGACAGCCACCCCAGUUUGGGCGUAGUAAGUACCUUAGUAUGAGUUAAAACGGUGGUCCAUUCGGAAUAAAAGAAAUGGUAGAAAUUCAAAUUGUAAAAUUCAAGCAAAAAAGGAAACCCCAUGAAAAUCCUGCUUAGUAAGUACCUCGGUACAAGUCCUAAAAUGAGAGAAGUCCAGAACAACAUUGUCAAAAAAAUGUUGAUUUAAAAAAAGAAACAAAACAAACACAUUUUCUUUUUGAAUAAAAUAUCAUUCAGUUCGAUGAUACAAACCAUACAAGUACAGGGGCGACGAUACAGUAAACCGUUGAAAACUUACGAGAAAAAUAUUACCCAAAAAACAGAGCAAAGUCUAGUUAGUGAAAACACGCUUACUACAAACCCAUGCAAGCAUCAGUACAAGUACCCUUUUUCGGAACCGUUCAAAAUUACUCUACAAAAAAUAGCUCAGUACAAACAUACACAUAUAUCAGUACGACUACUCUGUUUUUCAGACGAGAAAACAGCAGGAUCCGUCAUGCCGUAUUCAAAAUUACUCUUAAACGGUUACGAAGUAGAGAAAACGUUCAACAUGACUAAGUUUCGCAUUUUCGAUAGCUAUCCAACGGUAUAUUAUUUGCCAUAUUUCGACAAACUUUUUAAAAAAUCGCGUUCAAAAUCAAUUUUGACCGUAUUCGAAUUCGUUUUUAAACCGUAAGGAAUUAGAAAAAUAUUUCUAUACAAAAAAGUUGCGCAUUUUCCAUAGCUUUUCAACGCUGUAUCAUUUGCGUCAAUCCGAUAAACCGUUUGCAAAAAAUUGCGAAAAUACAUUUCGCCCAGAAUUUCACCGUUUUUCAAAUUACUUUUAAAUCAUAUAGAAUUAGAAAAAACAAUACAUAUAUGGAAGAUGCGGAUUUUCACCAGCUUUCCAACACCAUCUUAUUUGCUCAAUUCCGACAAACAGUUUAAAAAUUGAGUCCAAAAUACGAUUCAAGUUUUCGGUUUUGAAAAAAUGGUUUUCUCAAAACUGCUCUUAAACCAUAAUGAUUUUGCAAAAACGUUCAAUAUACUUGAAAUAUGGUUGUCAAGAGCUUUCCAACGAUAUAUUACACGCCCCGUUUCGACAAAAAAAUUACAAAAAGUUUUUGAACUAAAGAAGACGAUCUGUUAAACUCAAUUGAAGGCAUCAGUUCAACCGCUUCGAAAACAUCAGUACAACCACCUGAAACCGUCAGUUCAAAAAGGGUAACAGAAUAAUAUUCUGUUACACGUAACAGAAUAGCCCAGAUGUAUAUAUAUAUAUAUAUAUACAUAUAUAUAUAUAUGAGUUUUAUGUCCUCUACAUCAUUCACUUAUUGAUAUUUCUUCAAGUUGAUUUCAUCUGCAAAGUGAAUGUGAUCGGACCCUUCCCCCUCUAUGCUAAACUCAAGCCAGUCUAUUCACAAAUUCCUCAUAUGCGUUCUAUUUGAAACUCGUUCAAAUUCUUCACUGUGUCCUUGACAGCUGAAGAAAUUGUGAACGGAACUUUUAACUUAUCUUUUAUGAAUUUUCGGCUUUGCCGCUCAAACCGUUCCGCUUUUCACGACAAUACUUAUCUAUUCACCCACGAUCCUACAUGAUCACCACCUCUCCAGUACGUGGGUGACACAUGUCAGGCGAAUGAGAAGAGGCCAGGGGCAUGUUCGUCCGAUUUCCUUGGUUGAACAGUUUUUCACUCCCUCUAUAAAUACCCCUGUCUCUUCCUCCCUUCACUUUCACCUCGCCCGCGCUCUCUCUCCCGCUCGAGCUUCCCAAAACCCUAGCACCGCUGCUACUUCAUCGUCUCCAGUGAGGAAGAGCUUCACUGCCUCGACCUCGUCGUCGUCGUACUCGCGUCGGUUGCGGAUUUCUUCACUCCGCCGCCGCCGUAGCCGUCUUCCUCUGCCGAGUUAGGGCGUGGAAGAUCUGACCCGACGAACUUCACUUCUGUUCUUCCCAGUUCGUCGUGUUCUUCACUUCAGGUAAUUAAAAGUUACUUUUAACUGCUUGCUUUGAUUCUCAAGUUUUCCUAAAAUCUUCAAAAGUGUUUAUUCUUCAAUUCUUCACACACAUAAACACCUCACAUGUCAACUGCUCUUGAUUCGUUUCUCUAAGCAAUGAUUUUCUUCAAGAUUCCUCAAUUGUGUGGAUUUUCACUCUACACAACUCUGGAACCUAAGACAAAGAACGCUUAGUGAAAUUCCUCAAGACUCAUCUGGUUAAAUUCCUCAAAACCUAUUCUUUUUGAAAAACCUUCUGAGAACACAUAUGACUUCUCCAAAUUCCUCGCAACUAUACUCUGUUCACAGGUACAAAUGUCCGAACUAGGUUCUCAUCAACUUAACUCAUUUGCAGCGUUCCUCGAAGAAAAGUUGCAUACCUCUUCAGAAACUUCAGUUGUUCAUAUUCCUCAGCUGAAGAAAAUGGGUGACAAAAGGCCACAGAAGGGAGGAAAGAGGCCUGAGGUCAAUACUGCGUUUGAAAUCCCUGAGGACAUAUAUAAGGACUACUACACACCUAAUGAAGCCAAAUUCGGCAAAGAGGACAAGAAUCAGCGCAAGGUGCGCAUACAAAGGAUAGAGAGGAGAUGGGCACGAGAAUGGAGGGAGUACAGAUAUGUCACUCCCAAGUAUAUGAAGAAAUUCACACUCAACCCUCCAUGCCCAAGACCUCCAUUGGCACCAGGCCAGUUGGCAGAUCCCACCAGCCUCAAGCGCGGUGAGGAUUAUCCUGAUGAAUGGGCAAAGCGCCAAGCCAAAUUGGCUAAGCAAGCAAAGGACGCAGUGAAGAAAUUCAACACAGACUCUGCUGCUGCUGCUGCCUCUGCUAAGGCCUCUGCUAGUCAGCCAAAGAAGGCAAUGCACAAGAAGCCUGCACAUAAAUCCAGUACUUCACCUUCAAUGCCCUCAGGGCCAAGCUCCUCUGCUAUGCCAUCAAGGCCAGAUUCCUCAAGGCCCUCAUGGCAAAUUCCUCAGACUGCUCCUUCAAAGUCCUCAGCUCCUCCGUCAAAGUCUUCAGCUGCUCCGACAAAAUCCUCGGCACCUAUGCAUCUCGCCACGUGCCAAAGGACCCAAGGCUUCUCUAUUGCCUCAGGAGCAUCUGCAAGCUCCUCAGCUGCUCGGAAUUCCUCAGCUGGUCCCUCUCUGCUGAAGAAAAAGGCCACUGCUGGACGAGGCACUCGCCCAAGUCCUCACAAGAAGCAGGUCGCCUUCCAUGUACCCUUUGAUGAUGAUGAGGCUGAUGAUGAAGAACUUGCCGAAAUCAUCAAAGACAGGCAAGCCAGGGCCGCUAGAGCCAAAGGCAGCACUGUGCCACUGAUGCUGGAUCCAAAGUUGAUCCUUGACUAUAUUGACCUGUGGCACAAGGAUCCUAACACACCUUUGCCGGAUAUGAACCUCACUCCUGGUCAAAGUCAUGUUCUUACUGCCUUCAUUGAAGAAGAAAAAUGGAAAUUUCAUCAAGGCAGAAGUUUGAAGACAAUGUCCUCACUCUCACUCCUGAUCAGCUCCUUGCCUUGCAAGUUGAAAUCUAACAGCUGAGUGAUGAAUUUGAUCACUACCAUGCUGAUUGGAAGGGCGCCAAGGUGCGUUUCGUCAAUCUGACAAAGAAAUUCACUUCAAGUGUUGCUCCACCUGUGCACAUUGAAGUUACUCAGGCUGAGGCAUCUGCUCAGCCUACUGAAGAACAUGCCAGCACCGCUGAUGACAAUCAGGCUGCUGAAGACCAUGAGAGUGCCAGGGCUGAUGACUCCAUUCCAGCCGCUGAAGAUAUUGCCAGGGCAUCCACUAGUGAUGCGCCUGAGGGAAGUGAACAAAUCAGGACAACUGCAUCAGUUGUGCCUGAGGAAAAUGAACCAAAUUCCUCUGCACCUCCUGCGCCUACACCAACCCCAAUCCUUCCAUCUGCAUCAGAUGCGAAGAAGACCAAGGCUGCAGAAUGUGCAGCUGUGAAGAAAAGGAAGGCAUCAACUUCCUCAAAUUCUUUAGCUCCGAAGAAGAUGAAGACUCUGAUCAGUUCAAUUGACAAUCCAAUUGAUGCCGUUCCAGUCUCAUCAAUGCCAUCAAAGGAUCUUGUUCCAUUUGGUGAAGAUUAUGUGAUUCCUGAUGAAUCUGAUGAAGAAUCUCCUUUUGCUGCUACGUCAGAGCAGUUGGACGAAGAAAUUGAAGUGGAUAAUAUCCCUUCAAACCCAGCCAUUUCCUCACCUUUGCCUUAGUUUACUGCUGAAGAGGCAGGUGUUGAAGAAAUUGAAGAGGAGGAUGUGGACAUUGGUUGUACCACUCCUGUGCUCAAUGAUGAAUUUUGGGACAAUCAACAUCCCAACUCUUCAAUGUCCACUCCCCUUCAAGAUAUUCCUCAGUCCCCUACCACCACUGAAGUGCAAAUGGGAUCUGAAGAACCUCAUGCAACCCCAAGUAUUCAUGAAGAAAUUCCAGCCACUAGUGCUGAAGAAAUUGUCAAUGAAAAAUUGAAGACCCAGGCUGAAGCUGCAAAAGAGCCUGAAAUUCCUCAGCCUGAGGAACCUGAGAUUGCGAUUCCUGAAGUAGUGCUGCAAUUGACUGACACUCCUCAGCCCAAGCCAAAAGGAUCCUUUCUCCAAGAAGCAAAAAUUCAAGGCUGAUGAUUUCUUUGGCGAGCACGUAUUCUUCAUAGAAUUCAACCCCUAUGACAAUGCUCGUCUUAGAAGGAAGCAUUUCUGGACUGCCAGCCAGGCCAACUUCUAUUCCUUAGUGCUCUUCAACAAGGACAAAGUCUUCGAUCAUGAGCAUAUUCCUCAUGUGGACAUGGAAUCCAUGCCUUGCUUCUCUCAAGUCCUCAACAUGAUUCAUGACGCCGGCUUGCUCAAUUUCUGCUCUAACAUAGUUGAUUGGAAUGAAGAACUUAUUCUUCAGUUCUACGCAACUUUGCAUAUCACAGGCGAUGUUGCUGACGUCAACUCAUGGGUGUUGAACUGGAUGACUGAAAACACUUAUUACAGGCACCAGCCUCUGAAUUGCUUCGUGCCCUACCAAUCAGUCCUCCACCUGAUGGUGCUCGUUGUCUGUAUGAUGAGCCUGAACUCACCGAUCACUAUAUGCAAGUGCUCAUGAAGCCGCUGAAGCCGGGACAAGCUCCAAGGACCAAAUUCCUCGUGAAGGAAUUGCUCUAUGUGCCAAGAACAAUCUACCGCAUUCUGACGAAGACCAUGAGUCCCAUCAAAGGCCAUGACUCAUCCGAUGAAGAAAUUAUCGGAAUGAUGAAGAACAUGCUUUUCAACAUCAUGCAUGGCAUUCCCAUAAAUUAUCAUGAUUUCUUCAUGAGGACUCUGGCGAAUGUUGCACUUUCUCCAUUUGAGCUGAAGCCUUACGCGCCGUGGAUCAUGAGAUUCCUCAGAACAAGGUCUUCACUCAACUACAAGGCUGAUUUUCAGAAUCACCUCAGCUACUUGCCCCCUAUUAAAGUCCUCAAGUGGACAAUUUCCUCAUCUGAUGAGAAGGGCAAGUCACCAGCCGUUAUCGAUGAAGGCAUUCGUCCAUUGGAUGGUCAGUUCUGCAAAGCUGCAUCUUACUCCACCAAUGAUGACUCUGCCACUCAUGAUACUACUGCCAAUGCUACCAAGACAAGUCCUCAAGCUACUGCUCCUCGUGUGCUGACUGAUCGUGAACUGCUGAUAAGUCUUCACCAGAAGGUGGAUCGCAACCACAAGUGGGUUAAGCGUCAGUUUGGUUCUAUUCUUCACAACAUGACUUCCACACAUAAUGCAGUGAAGAAAAACCACUACUACCUCCAUGAAGUGUUUGAUCGCACCUGGGCUAUUCUGUCACAUCUAUAUGGUGAAGAAGAUCUAAAGCAAAUGGGCUUCAAGGAAGACUUUGACUGGUCUGCUCCUCCACCAAAGAGAUUCAAGAGGGUCAAGGUUCCUUCCGUGGUGGCCAGCUCAUAUUCUUCAUCACGCGCCACGGACGAGCAUGAAGACUUGGACAACACUGCAGCAGGCCCUACAUCGACUCAAGACCCUGACAAUGCUGGUGCUCCUCCAUCUUCAUGAUAUUCUUCAGGGGCAUUAGUCCUCAGUUUCAACCCUUUUGGUCAUUCGAUGACAAAGGGGGAGAAAAUUUGAGUUAGUCUUCAAGCGGGUCUAUCUUAUAUGGGUGUUUUUAGCUAAGUUACAACUCUCGUUCUUCUGAUGACUUUGCUGGAUCGAGUUGUAAUCUUAAACUCUAUGGUGACCUGAUACUUUUGAUGUGUUCUUCUGCAUGCUUAUUCCUCAUUAAUGUUAAUGCACGCAUGCUGAAUUACAUCAGUCACCAUAUUUCAUUAUGCAUUUCAAAUUCUUCAUAUUAUAUGUCAAAUGCGUGUAUGAAUUACAAGAUAUAGGGGGAGAUCUCCAUGAUUAUACUCUUCAAAUGUGCAUUGCUUCAAAAGCAAAUUCCUCAUAUGCACAUCUUCAGGGGGAGUUCUUCUAUAUCUUGCAAUCAAAUUCCUCAAUAUCAGUAUUUACACUUCACAUGUUUAUCCCCGUUGAAAACUUAACCUAUAUUGUCAUCAAUCACCAAAAAGGGGGAGAUUGUAAGUGCAUCUAGUGCCCCAUAGUGAUUUUGGUGUAUUGAAGACUUAUAGGUUAAGGGACUGAUGCGUUUGUGAGUGUACACAUGUCUAUAAGUCUAUGAGGAGUUUGAUAUUUACAGAGAAAGUCGACCCCUAAAAAUGACGUUCUUCAACUGAAGACUUUGGAUCUCUGAAGACUUUCUGAAGACUUUGAAAGUGAAGAAAUUGGUGUGACCUUGAAGACUAGGAAACCAUUCGAGGAACAUGAAGCGUGAAGACUUUUGUUUUCAUAGUUUCAUUUUCUCUUUCUUGAGUCAUAGGAAACAUCGUACUGUUAAAGGGGUCGAGGAAAUACUAAGGAAAAAUUUCCAUGUGAUGCUCAACUCAAAAUCCUACACCUACCAAUCCCUUCGAGUGAAGCCAAUGGAAAUCUCAUACAGUUCAGUCAUAUUCUUCAGUGACAGAGACAAAGUUCUUCUGGUCCCUGAGGAAUUUGUUCUGACUGAGGAGUUAGGAAUUCACCAGUGUGAAUUGCCUACACAGUGAGGAGCAUGAUAGCCCUGAGGAUUUUGAUAGUCAAAAUUCCGACCGUUGCUGUGCUAUGCGCCAGCGGUUCCAAAAUAUCUACCCACCUAACGGUCAUAUCAGACAAGGGCAUUUAUGUCUUAUCAUGUCGGGCUGCUCCCUAGGCUAUAAAUAGCCGCCCCCUUCAACCACUAGCUGGUUGGCUGCUCUGAGAGAAACUGACACUUGUCAAUUGUGAGCAUCCCAUCCUCCGAGGGCUUUGAGCGAAAAUCAUCAAGUGAGGAAAACCCAAAAACCCAACACCUACAAACCCAAAGUGAUUGAGCAUCACUGAAGAGAUUGAUCCUGCGUGGAUCCAACGCUUGUUUCCUUUGAAGACGGUGCUUCUUCCAGACGGUUUGGCGUCAAGGUCUAGAGCAUCCAAGAGGAAUUGUGGAUCGCCGAGUGACUGAGUUUGUGAAGGUUCGGAAGUCACAUGAAGACUUACCACGAGUGAUUGGGCGAGGUCUGUGUGACCUUAGCUCAAGGAGAAUACAGUGAGGACUGUGUGUCCGGGACUGGGCAUCCUCGAGUUUAAAUACUCAGCCGCUCCAACCAGAUGUACAACUGGGACAGCAGUUGGAACCGGUCUACCAAAACAUUGUCUUCACCAAGCUAACUGGUUCUAUUUCCUCAACUCUUUCAUUUCCUCAUGUAUGUUGGUGUGUGCCUGUUCAUAUCUGUUUGAAGACUUUGACUGAAGACUUUCUCAAUUUCCUCAGAUCAAUUUCUUCAGUCUGUCCGUCUUCUUUCUUGUGCUAUCCUAUGUUUACGCUUUCUGUACUCUGUUCUUGUCUUCAUUUCAUCAUGAUGACUAUGCUUGUGUUCUAUUAUGUUUACUUCUGAGUACUUAUUCCGCUGCUAGUAGUUCUUAUUUUAGGAAUUUCCUCACCAGCAAAUUCCUCAGUGAAGAAUUCAUAAAAAUCGCCUAUUCACCCCCCUCUAGUCGAUAUAACGCACUUUCACUUGUGCGCUAGAUUAUGGAUCUAGUUGGGACGACAAUUUGCCAUAUGCAGAGUUCUCUUACAACAACAAUUAUCAAUCCAGUUUGAAGAUGGCCCCUUUCGAAGCCUUGUACGGAAGGAGGUGCGGGACCCCAUUGUCAUGGGAUGAAGUUGGAGACUGCCAGUUGUUUGGACCAGAUUUGAUUAAGGAGUCUGAACAGAAGGUGAAGUUGAUUCGCGAUAGGCUCAAGGUAGCCCAGUCCAAGCAGAAGAGCUAUGCAGAUUCUAAACGCAAGGAGACAGUUUACGAAGUCGGAGAUAGCGUUUAUCUUCGUGUAUCUCCACUUCGAGGAGUUAAGCGCUUUGGAGUUAAGGGAAAGUUAGCUCCACGUUUUGUGGGACCAUACAAAGUUUUGGAACGUAUGGGAGAAGUUGCUUACAAAUUGGAAUUGCCCGAAGAAUUGUCAGGAGUUCACGAUGUGUUCCACAUUUCCCAGUUGAAGAAGUGCCACGCAGAGAUGGCUGAUAUACCGCUGAGAGAUACAAUGCCGCUGGAAGCAAUUCAGUUGGAUAAUGAUUUGACUUAUGAGGAGAAACCAGUCAAGAUUCUCGAGUAUGCCAGCCGAGUCACCCGCGGUAAGGUUAUCAAGUUUUGCAAGGUUCAGUGGAGCCACCACACCGAGGAUGAAGCCACCUGGGAGCGAGAGGAAGAUCUGCUGAAGGACCACCCUCACCUAUUUUCUAGCCAACCCGAAUCUCGAGGGCGAGAUUCAUCUUAAGGGGGGUAGGUUUGUAACAUCCCAAAUUUUCAAUUUGGAAUGUUAUACACUAGAUCAUCAUUGCAUAUCAUAUUUUUUUGCUUUUUGGCCUGAUCUAGAAAUUCUACGCAACUUAAGGACCCUCGGAGAGAGUUGGGAUUUUCGUUAUUUUCAUAUUUGAGUUUUCUCAAAUUUUGAAAAUAGGAUCAUUUGAUUUUUUUUAUUUUGUCUUCAAAUAUCUCUUUUAAAAAAAUAUGAGAGAGGGAAUAAACUGACUUCCCCAAAAUAAAGAAAUAUUGAGGAUUUAAUAAAAAAUCAAAUAAGAUUUAUUUCGGAGUUUUUGCUAUUUUAUUUGAAUUUAGGAAAAAAUGCACGAUUUUCAAAACUGCAUUUUAGGGCCAAGAAAAUGUUGAUCUCGUUCUAAAUAUUUUAUUUAGACGGUGAAAAUUUGUUUUGGCAUUUUUAGAUUUUUAUUUAUUUUUCGAGGAUUUAUUUUUUGUUUGGCGGAAUUUUUUUAAAAAAAAAUAUGCGCGCCUGACUCGGCCGAAGUCCCAGCCGAGCCGGCCCGCGCCGCCGCCGCCUUCCGCAUCCAGAUCGGGACCGGAGUCCCGAUCGCCGCCGCCGCCGUGUCCGAGCCAGCCCCGCAACCGCCUUGCCCCCUCCCCAAGCCACUGCCGCCCCACUUUAUAAACCGACCCGGGGGCCCCCUGGAGCCCCAAGCCGGAGCCGCCACUGUCGCAAACCACCGCCGCCGCAAGCCGCCGCCUUGCGCCGCCGCUGCCAGGAGCCGCCGCCGCCGCCUGUCGCCGCUGCCCCGCCUUCCCACGCCGCCCCGCAGCCCCACCGGACUUCGCCGGAGCCCGAGCCGAGGUAGCUGCCCCGCCGCCCCGGUUUUCUAAAGAAAACCGAUCCGUUUUUUAGAAAACCCUAGGUUUUAUUUUUUUAGAUCGGUUUAUUUAUUUUUUCGGUUUAUUUAUUUAGCGUGCAUUCGCUCGUUCCUUCAUUUUAACGGACGAGUUCAUCGUUUAGUUUCAGUUAACGAACGUUCAUUCGUUAAUCUGUUCGUCAGUUUUUCUUUUUCUCGGAUUUUUCCGUGAUUAUUUCUGAUCGCGAUUUAUGAUCUAAUUUUCGUUCUAGUAUAACUUUUCGCUCGUUUAUCGGAAUCAGGCGAUUCAAGCGCCUAGAGUUUCGUCUCGAAACCCUCUUCCGUUUAACCAACUCAAACAAGUUUUUGUUUCUGUAAAAUUUAACUUAGAUCCAGAUUAGUAAAUGAAGCUUGUUUCUUUCGUCGUUUGACUUUCGUUGCUUCAUUUGAUUUGUUUCUUUUUGCAAACCGGAGUUCUUAAGUUGAACUCUCUGGUUAGUUAUCUUAUUUGAGUUUUACCUGUGCAUUAGAUGAGUGCUUAUUGUAUGCUUGUUUGUUUGCGAUAGAGUACCCGGAGUGUGCCGCUUGCUACUUCAAAUCUCUAGGUUUCACGGAUCAUCAGCAAGGCAAGUAACACUUUGAUCAUACCUCUUUACUGCCUAGUUUUAUUGCAUUAGAUCAAUCCUCAAACAAUUGCAUGGUUAGGAUCUGACCAAAUUGUGGGUUUUGGGAAGUAGAUGAGGUAGUACCUAUUUCCUGUUUUAUUAUCAAACCCAUGGGAGUUACUUUUACGUUUGCUUAUUAUGCCAUGCUAUGCUAGUAGACGUGGAUUGGGUGAAUGUAUCCAUGACAGAUGUGAGAUUGAUAUUUAUUGAUUUAUUUAAGGUGGCAACUUUAACACACAUCUGGGUGGAUUGAGGCACCUGGGUAUUCGAGCAAUUGCCUGUUUUUCUUUAUGGGCCGCCACCCGGGCUCAAAGGGAUCAUGAGAUUAUUGAUGCUAGAAACUUCCGUGUGCAGCCACAAGCUACUAUGGGCUCUAGCAUAGUUGAUUAAGUCGUGCAAACUCUUACAGUGGUAGACUAGCAGAUGUAGGGGAAAGUAGGUGUAACUGUCUACCCGAUCGUAAGGUGCUAGUGCUUCUGAAAGACUAUGCCUCGGUCAUCCCUUUCUCAAACACCAUGUAGUGCGAGAAAUCCAACGGAGGAGAUCGAGUCUUGUGGGGAAAAGUGUGCAAACCUCUGUAGAGUGUAUAAACUAAUCAUGGUUAGCCGUGUCCCCGGUUAUGGACGUUUUGAGUAUCUAGUACUUGGAUUAUCAUGUGAAUCUCAUCAUGUUACUUUAAUUAAUUAUGUUGGGUUUAAUGAUGAUGCUCAAUUGGGAUUGAGAGGAUGUCUAUCUUCUCAAUGUUUAACAACCACCAUGAUAGUUAAAUAAAAUUUAUUCCUUUGCAGUAGGGAAAAAUUGGCUUUAUGCAAAAAAGCUGUAACCAUAGAGCUUUCCACCAGCCAUAUAUGCAUGUAGUAUAGCAUAUUUCUGUUCAUUACUCUCUAUGUGUUACAUUGCCAGCAUAUUCCAUGUGCUGACCCGUUUCCGGGCUGCAACGUUCAUGUUGCAGACUUUUCAGACGACGAGUAAGGUGCCUUAGGUCGUGGUUCUAUACUCAGUGAUGCCGUUGGAGUUGAUGGACUCACUUUCUUCCAAGCCUUCCGCAGUUAUCGUUAUUAGAUGGCCUUAAGCCAUAUUUAUUGUAAUAAGUUCUCUUUUGAGACAUUCGAUGUAAUAAGUGUGUGAUUGCUACUCUGUUAUAAAUCCUUCAAGUACUGUGCUGUCAGCAUUACUGAUCCAGGGAUGACACUAAAGCAUAGAGAUCAGAUUGUUUGAGGUCUGGUCGCUUCAAGGGCGUCAGGCGCUUUUUGUGUGUGCAUGUGUAUGUGUGACUGUUGCAUGCACGCUGAUGUCUACUAUGCAACUUUAUUCUUGUAGACUCGUGUUUUGUAGGAUAGUAUCAGUUUUCCCUCAAGUGGAUGACCUAAGGUUUAUCAAUUCGUGGGAGGUGUAGGAUGAAGAUGGUCUCUCUCGAACAACCCUGCAACCAAAUACAAGAAAUCUUUUGUGUCCCCAACACACCCAAUACAAUGCAAAUUGUAUAGGUGCACUAGUUCGGCGAAGAGAUGGUGAUAAGAGUGUAGUAUUGAUGGUAGAAAUAUAUUUUUAUAAUAUGAAUAAAUAAAAACGGGAAGGUAGAAAAUAGUAAACGGGCACAAAAACAGUAUUGCAAUGCUUGAAAUGAGGCCUAGGGUUCGUACUUUCGCUAGUGUAAUCUCUCAACAAUGCUAAUAUAAUUGGAUCACAUAGCCAUCCCUCAAUGUGCAAUGAAGAAUCACUCUGAAGUUCUUAUCUAGCGGAUAACAUAAGAAGAAAUUGUUUGUAGGGUACGAAACCACCUCAAAGCUAUUCUUUCCGUUUGAUCUAUUCAAGAGUUUGUACUAAAAUAACACAAAGCUAUUUUUUCCAUUGGAUCUAUCCUAGAGUUCGUACUAAAAUAACACCAAAUAAUUUCAGAUUCAUAAUACUCAAUCCAACACAAAGAACCUCAAAGACUGCCCCAAGAUUUCUACCAGAGUAGCAAAAGACGAGAACAUGCAUCAACCCCUAUGCAUAGAUUACCCCAAUGUCAUAGCGGGAAUCCGUGAGUUGAAUGGCAAAACACACAUCAAGUGAAUCAAUAUGAUGCCCCAUUGUCACCAUGAGUAUUCAUAUGCAAGAUAUAUAUCAAGUGCUCUCAAAUCCAUAAAACUAUUCAAUCCGAUAACAACGAAAUCUCAAAGGGAAAAACUCAAUUCAUCACAACAAGAUAGAGAGGGGAAAACACCAUAUGAUCCGACUAUAUUAAUAAAUCCCAUGAUACAUCAAGAUCGUGACAUCUCAUGAACACAAGAGAGAGAAGAUUCAACACAUAGCUAUUGGUACAAACCCUCAACCCCGAGGGUGGACUACUCCCUCCUCAUCGUGGUGGCCGUCGGGAUGAUGAAGAUGGCCACCGGUGAUGAUUCCCCCCUCCGGUAGGGUGCCGCAACGGGGUCUAGAUUGGAUCUCGUGGAUACAGAGGCCUUGCGGUGGUGAAACUUCUGAUCUAGGGCUACCCCCAGGGCUUUGGGAAUAUUUGGGAAUUUAUAGGGCGAAGAAGGGGUGCGGGAGGCCACCAAGGUGGGCACAACCCACCUAGGCGUGCCUGGGCCUUGAGGCGCGCCCUGGUAGGUUGUGCCCCCCUCGGGGCACCCCCCAGUGCUGCUCUGGCCCACUAGUGUUCUUCUGGUCCAUUUGAUAUUGAAUUCCUGCGAUGUAAAAACAAGCAAAAAACAGCAACUGGCACUGGGCACUGGGUCAAUAGGUUAGUCCCAAAAAAUGAUAUAAAGUUGCCAUAAAAUGAUUGUAAAACAUCCAAGAAUGACAAUAUUUUAGCAUGAAUACUUCAUAAAUUAUAGAUACAUUGGAGACGUUUCAGCAUCCCCAAGCUUAAUUCCUACUCGUCCUCGAGUGGGUAAAUGAUAAAAGAAAUAAUUUAUGAAGUGUGAAUGCUAGCAAAGUGCAUAAGUUUGAUCAAUGAUAAAUUCAAUCACUUUUCCUAGCAUAAUAACAACAAUACUUUCCUAUAAAACUUCUCAUGUUAAAUUAGCAACCAAUUCACAUGUUAAGGUUCAAACAAUGAAUUCUCUUGAAACUCAACAACCUAUGUUCUCAGUCACCAAGCAAUUGUAAUUCAACUUAUUCAACAGAGUUUAAGUAAGAGCUCCACAUACUCAACCAUCAUAUAGUCUUCUAUGAUUGCUAACACUUGCCGCAUACACAUGAGCAAAACGUUUCAACCAGACACAUAGAAAGAUAGGGGCUUAUAAUUUCGCCUCCCAACGUAUUCACCUCAAGGGUGAUAUCAACAAUAAUAAAUCAUGCUACCCAUAUUCAACUGGACAUCUGUUCCUAGAUCUUUCCUCACCACAAGAUGCUUGCCAAAGGAGAAAAGUAAAAAGGAAUAGAGAGAAAAACUUUAACUCUUGCAUAAAAGUAAAUACGAAAGUAAAAGAUAGGCCCUUCGCAGAGGGAAGCAUAGGUUUCCAUGCACUUAUUUGUUUGUAUGUCAACCCCUUAGUGCAAAAGAACGCCAGGUUGUAUUUCCCCUUGUGAUGGCAACCUUUAUUAUGCAGUCUGUCGCUUUUAUUCAUCACCAUCACAAGUUCGUACAAUGCUCAAUUUUCUCUUACACUAAAUGAUCUCACACUUUUAGAAGCAAUUUUUAUUGCCUUAUUGCACCGAUGACAACUUAAUUGAAGGAUCUUACUCAAUCCUUAGGUAGGUAUGGUGGACUCUUGAAAAUAAGAUUUGGGUUUAAGGGUUUUUGGAUGCACAUGUAGUAUCUCUACUUGGUGCGGAGUUUUUGGCUAGCAAAGAUGGGGGGCAAGCACCACAUGUUGAAGGAUCUAUUGCAAUAUAACUUCUAUGUGAAUAUGAACAAACAUAAAUCAUUACGUUGUCUUCCUUGUCCAACGUCAACAAUUUUGGCAUAUAAUAUUUUGAUGGGGGCUCACAAUCACAAAAGAUUCCCAUGAUAGUGUAUUUGCAUGUGAAAGUUCUCUUCCUUAUAGUAAUCAUUCCGGAAUUGCUUGUAUGACCAAUAUUGUGAUUGUGAAGCUUCAAAAGAUUUCACUUUCUAAACCCAAUGUGAAGCUAGCACUAGGCAUGAUAUGAACAUUUGAUUUCAACUUCAUUACAUUCAAUUUAUUCAACAAUUUACUCAUAGGAUAUAAGUGAAGCAUGUCGGUGUUAAAACCGGCUGAUCUCAGGUAGGGGGUCCCAAGUUGUGUGUCUUAGGAUCGAUGUAACAUGGACAUGGGAUUUUACCCAGCUUCGGGCUCUCUCGAAGAGAUAAUACCCUACAUGUUGCUUGAUUGACUUUGAUGAGUAUAGGGGUUACAAGAGUUGAUCUACCUCGAGACCGCAUGUUGUGGCCUAAACCUGAGGGUAUGAUGAAUAAUCUCAUGAUCUAGCAUAUCCCUAUCGACUAGCCCGGCCUCAGCUUAUAUAAUGUACCAGAUGCCUAGGAUAACAAGAGUCCUAGUCGAAUACGUCGGUGGAGAGGAGUCCGUGUCUUGAUAACCAAGUCUCGUGGAAUCUUCCUCAUGUAUACAUCGACUGUUCGAACUGGCCCAUGAGUAAAUGGCCAUGGGGGUCCUCGGCCCAAUCCAACUGAUCGGGAGACGACAUGGUGAGUACCCCCUAGUCCAGGACACCGUCAGUAGCCCCCUGGACCGGUCUUCAAGUUUGGGACGCUCCUCGGUUCUUUCGAACUAUUCUUCGUCUUUGGUCGUCGGUCUUGAAAACUGGUUCACCAAAUCUUCCCAUCUUCUAUUUUGAGGAUUGCUAAGCUAAAUCUUAAGAUCUCACACAUCGGGUAUCCGAGGAGCCCUUUAAGUCUUUGGUCUUUAUCAAUGCCUUGUUAUUUUUAUGCCACAACUCAGGUUUGAAGUGUUUGUCGUGCGGUAGUGUCCUCUUGCAUCCGAGAUCCAACACCGGACUGCAUUCGAGGUAUCUUUUGCAGCCAGGCACCAAUGCCAGACCGCUUCCGAGCUCCGACGCCGGAAUGUAUCCGAGCUGCAACGCUAGACUGUAUCCGAAGAGUCUUGUUACAGCUGAGCUCCAAUGCCGGACUGCAUCCGAGCUCCAGCGUCGGACUAUAUCCGAGCUCCAAUGCUGGACUAUGUCCAAGCUCCAACGCCGGACUGUAUCCGAGCUCCAACGCCAUACUAUAUCCAAGGUGUCAUAGAUCACCUUGGUUCAAAAAAGUUGAAGGAGUUUAGCCGAGCUUAAUGCCAGAAAUGCCCUCUAUGGAGCCAGCCACUUGCAUCCGAGCUAUGUCCCGAAAUGCUUUCGAGGUGGUUCAGCACCUCGGUCAUGGGCUGAUUGUUUGCGGAUUUUAUUUCCGAUGCGUGUAAAUUUAUUUGCUGCCAAUAUGUAUAACCAAUAGCCCUCAAGGUGUGUGUCAGUCUAAAACCCGAGAUGCACCUGAAGGAAAACAUGAAACCGCUGAUCCUAGUAGCCCCUGAGACUCAGGUCGAUUAACUAAAUCGGCCUGAGGAUCAACUCCUAGCUCGGUAGCAUACAUAGGAAUAGAAACACAGUGUAAUAUAUUAGAGGUAAUAGUGAUCGGCGGAUGGGGCCCUGAGAGAGGGUAGUGAGAAGUCACCGUGAUAUAUUAGCUUGAUGCCGCAUAAGUCCCAGAUGGUACUUAUUGUUGUCCGAAGAUGCGCUUGUCCAUAGUUCAGUCAUGUCGAACACUGAGCACUUCGAAUUUUCUGCAUUGAAUAGGCAAUGCAAUAGCCCUCGAGUAACUGGUCAGGUGGCAACACCAGAUCAGAGGAUCAAUGUGCCCCUUUAAUAUUUAUAAAUAAUUAGCGCAAAGCCUAGUAGCCCCCGAGCCUUAAUGUGGGCACGGGUGGCCGAAUUAAGGAUCGAUAUCCAUUUGACAAAAAAAUUGUUGUGUUUAACACAAACUUCUCGGAAAGAGAAUAAAGAUCUCAUAAAGGAGUUAGAGCUAACGAAAGCUGAGCUCACCAAUGUCGGCCUUACGGGGCUUAAUAGAUAGGAAAUCAAUGCCAAUAAGGAACUAUGAGAAAGUUACAUCAGUUGCUUGAUUGUCUCAAAGAGACUAUGCCAUUGAUUUUCGCUCACAAUUUAUGUGUAACGAUUCUAUGUACCCAAGUACUUUACAUCAUUAAUGCUCGGAUCCGCAUUGUACAAAACUUUGUUGACCGACCAUCGGCUUCGACCUCCUCGGCCAGUAGCCAUGGAGUGUUUGUCCCACUUUAUAAAGCCUAAUGGCAAAAGAUUUACGGAAAACAAGGCAAUCGGGCCAUACGGUUUUAUAAACAAAGGUACACAGAGAGAUAGGUUAUAAAACAUCUUCUGGGAAAAAUAGUUCAUUAUAGGUUUCUUUUCCAAGGCUGUCAUGUUAAUUAUGAUCAUGAAACCUCAACUCCGAUCAAUGUGGGAGGAAAAUAUGGAGGAUUUAGUUGGGGGGAGUUCCCGAAGUCUGUGGUCCACAAAAGGAACUGAAAUUUUCACUUCCAUUCUUGCUGACCAAUUAUAUCCUUUAAGAUGGCUAGCUUUCGGCUUCACCCAGUCUGAGGUACCAACCCAGAUGACCCGGUAGUAACAAUCACAAAGGUGCACCCUUUACCACCUAGGCGAACAAUUGGGAACGUAGUGGUAAGCACAGGAGCCAGGCAACCCAGCUUGGCCAUAAACUUAAGUCAAAUUUGAUGCAUAUUUAUGGCUUUAUGAUGAUGAUUAUGGAAGGCAGCGCUUGUAUACUGAAUACAAAUGCUGAUGAUAUGUUUAUUUUGACUCCGUUGCGACUGUUUAUCAGUUGAAAGUGGCCCAUCGUCGGUUUCUACCCCUUUGUAGAUACUACGUAGGGUGUUUCAGCAAGAACAAGACAACCCUUAGCCAACGUCUCAGUGCCCGGAGGCGGUUGUGUUAUCGGAAAUGAGGCAUUUAGAUAUGCGGGCUUUAUAACUUUCACUUAGUCAUAGGAGCUUAAAGUUGGGAGGCCAGCUACUAGCCCCUGGUUAGUGUUUGGCGGCGGCCGAGGUCAGGCCGCAAACACUUCGGCCAAUAUUAUGAACGGCAUGUCAUUUAACACGGGGUGACCUCUAUCGAUCUUAUAGUUUAAUACAGUCAUCGGAUCAUUGACCAGUUUACGCUUAUUGUGAUAGUCAGUUUUUGGCUUUCUCCACUAAGGCGCUUAACCAUGCGAGCUGGAAGCACAAUCGCAGUGGUUCUCCCUUUGCACACCUAGCCGAACAGAGCGGAACGUAGGAGGCAAGCACACGAGCCGGGCAACCCAACUAUUGACCAAAGACACAAUUCAAAAGUGAUGCAUAUAAAGAAAUAUCCGAGAACAUUUUGCCGAGGACUCCUCGAAGUACCUUGGCCUUUGGUGGGUUCGGCUCAAGUCGCGGCCCCCCGUUGAUAUUGUUGAUGCUUAAAAAGUGUCCGGCAGUGUACUGUGGGAUUUAUGCUCAGACCCAGCACCAGGUGUAGGUCGGCAGGAAAAAGGCCGAACUAUGGGUCGAAAAAGAUUUCCCAAGAUGGAUUAUUAUGCAGGGUACCUCGGUCAAGAGGAUGUCCCGCCUCAUAAAAGAAAAACACACAAAUAGAUCAAAAGUGCCAUAAGCUUAAAAAGCCAAAAAACUUAUGCGAAAACUUUACGUGCGAACUAAAUCAAGUUUUGGUGCCAAUCCGAACAUUGGUCUUAAAAUUAGUUUGUGUUUCCGUCAUGCUUUAUCAUGACACAUCCGAUAUCGAGACUUUGAGCAGGUCAGCCUGCGGCUUCAACCUCCUAUCCAGAAGGCGGAGUGCUUCUCGUUAGGCCAGUCUAGCAAACUAAACUUAAGCAACUUGAGAGAGAAAUCAGGCUACCCGGCUAUUGACCACACACUCGUAUCGAAAAAAGGAGUGAUAAAAAAAGACUUUACAAUGAACAAGAAGAAAAACAUAUUUAUUAUAAACUGGCUCAUAUAAAUUUUAAGAGCCCCAGUUAACAUGGGUAAAGGGAGUUUCUUUUAAGAAACAACUCACGUGAGCAUGGUCGAACCGAACACAAAUUAAAAAUUUAAAAACUUUGAGCAUGAAAGCAACUUAGCUGAUUAAUGUGUUCAGCAUUGAUGACGCAGGUCGAGCUUGCAGUGGGUCGAGGUCCCAGCCCCCAAGUCAGUCCCGUGGUGCCCGAGCGAAGAGCCCGGCUUGAUGAAGUGGCGAUGCCGCACGGUCGAUGUGGCGAGCCGAAGCCCCUGGUCCAGCCAAGGUGAUGAAAGAAAAAAAAAGGUGUUCAACAAUCAACGUUUGAAUGAACAACUUUACUGUUUAACACAAGUAUAAUGUUUGGUUGAACCGAACAAGAAUUAAUAAAUUUAAAGAAAAGCUGAGCAUGGAGGCGACUAAGCUGGUUAGUGUACUCGGUAUUCUUGACGAGGUCCGAGCUCAUGGCGGGACGAAGACGUAGUCCGCAGCCUAGCCAAGGUCCCAGCCCCCAAGCCCGAGGUGGUUGAGCAAGGAGCUCGGCUUGAUGAAGCGGUGAUGCUGCACGGUCAAUAUGGCGAGGUGAAGCCUCCGGUCCAGCUAACGUGAUGAAGCUGGUCGGCUGGUGACGCCGAAGUCACCGGAGUAGGUUGAUGAAGAGAUGGCGAAGCCCCCGGUCUAGUCGAGGUGACGGGGCAGGUCGGUAGUGUGACGUUAGCAGCACCAUGCCAGCCGAUGUGUCGAAGCAGGUCGGCGUGGUGGACAUCGGCUUGAAGAAGCAACAGUGCGGCCAUGCUGACGCAGGUCGUAAUUUGUGACGCGGUCAAUGCCGGCUUGAUGAAGUCACCAUGCGGCGAUGUCGGUGUGCCCACUCCGUGUAAUCCGUGGGGCGGCGAUGUUGGUGAUAAUUUAUCCAUUGUGAUUCCGAACUCUUGUUCGGCUCGCUGAGAUGAUAAACCGAAGAAGUUGAGCUCGGCUCAACAAAGCGACGACGUGUCUAGCGCAGGUCGGCAGCCGUGGAGCAAUAUUUCCCGACUGGUUUGACACCAGCGUAAAGGUGAAGAUUACCUCGGAGGAGGCUUAAAAUUUUAUGGGCACGUGUUUAAAAACAACGCACAAUACCCUAGAAAAAAAUUCCUUCAAAAAGGUUGUCCAACAUCCCGUUCAUGAAGAAACAUGAACUCAGGUCGAAUUCGUAUUUGUGCAGAAAACAAAUCAAAAAUUGGUCCACUCAUCGGAAGGUUCCCGGAGAUUGAACGGGCGGAUCGAGCUAAAAUUUUGAGGAGUGGUAGAUAUGGGAAUUCCGCAGCCGAUCAAUGGUUGGAUCUUGCAAAAGACUUUCGAGCUAGACACUGGAACCCUCGCCCUAAACUCGUCUAGAUUCUCGUCCAGAUUCGAUAGGGCUCCAUCGUAGAUCGCCGGAUAUUCCUCCAUCAGAACGCAACAUUACAGGGUUGUCGUAUACUCAAUUCCGCACUAUUCCACCGAAGCAAUCGUCAAACCGAUGCUUGAGGAGGUGGUGACGGCGGAUACAAGUUUGUUGUCCAGAAGAGUGGCAUGGUCGCACGAGGGCAAUGUUGACGUUGAGCCCCCGGGCUCCAUGGAUGAUUCCUCCAUGAUCUUGAUAGAGAUCAGAGUUUGAUGAUGACGAGGACAUAUGUCCAAUCUUGACGAUCUGAAGAGGAGCCCGGUCCUCGGACCAGCCGAGGUGACCAGUCGAGCCGGUGAUGAAGACACCGACGUCGCAGUUGAUCUGUAGACCAGCCAUUGAUCCAUUGCCGAUCACACAGCAGAACUCUUAAUGAAAGCACCAUUGUUGGUGUCAAAACCGUCUGAUCUCGGGUAGGGGGUCCCAAGUUGUGUCUUAGGAUCGAUGGUAAUGUGGACACGGGAUUUUACCCGCUUCGGGGUCUCUCGAAGAGAUAAUACCCUACAUGCUGCUUGAUUAACUUUGAUGAGUAUAGGGGUUACAAGAGUAGAUCUACCUUGAGACCAUAUGUUGUGGUCUAAACCAGAGGGUAUGAUGAAUAAUCUCAUGAUCUAGCAUAUCCCUAUCGACUGCCUUGGCUUAUAUAAUGUACCAGAGGCCUAGGAUAAUAAGAGUCCUAGUCGAAUACGUCGAUGGAGAGGAGUCUGUGUCUUGAUAACCAAGUCUCAUGGAAUCUUCCUCGUGUAUACAUCGGCUGUCUGAACUGGCCCAUGAGUAAACGGUCAUGGGGGUCCUCGGCCCAAUCCAACUGAUUGGGAGACGACGUGGUGAGCACCCCCUAGUCCAGGAAACCGUCAACGCACAAGAGUAAAUGACAAAGUACUCCAAAAAGAUAUAAGUGAAGAUCAAGCGAGUAGUUAAGUAAAUAGGUAGCUAAUUGUGGACUCUCUCUUAUUUAAAAAGUUGCAGAUCUAAGUAAUUUAUUAAACCAGCAAGCAAAAAAAAA